GUUGAAUCCCGUCCCAUCACCUGACAAAGAUCAGUCCUUUCCUCAGGCGACAGAUCGAUGAGUGUUACAGAAGAAGUCGAAAUAUUCUGAAAAAUUCAACUCUGGCAACUCUGACAUGAGGGCUUUUGUUUAACAGCUAAAACUGUGUGUAAACGGUAUGUUUCUGGAGAUGGUGCCGAUUCAUAGAAGGGUGGAGACAUCUGUUCCUUGAUGAGCGCUGAAAGGUCACCUUCUACCCACAGUCACACUCCCAGAGGAGUCGACCCGAGACACGCUGCCGCACUCAACUGACAUUUGCUUUUCAGAGGGGAC
Long non-coding RNA from Cyprinus carpio carpio, 312 nucleotides. Lineage: Eukaryota; Metazoa; Chordata; Actinopteri; Cypriniformes; Cyprinidae. The record is from Ensembl.